UUUGAAGUGAAACAAUAAAUCAAGUUAAGAAAAAGAACAAUCUGCAACAUAAUCUGGGAUUCUGCGACACACAACCCAAGUUUUUGCAACAUUUGAUGUGUGUUUUGAUGUCAUACAACAAUCACUGACAAAUAGCAAUGAUACAUUGACUGAACCAAUUAUUCUGCACUAGAUGUCCAUUCUGACAAUAUAUAACUCUACAGUGAUGCUGAAGGCCAUAAUAUUCGAAAAUUUAAAUCUCAUGAGAUUAUAAACCAAAAAGGACAAAAAGUAUUGCCUAAGAAAUUCAAGGAUUCACAGUUUUGCAUGAGAGAGAUAUGUUCCUCAAUUUAAAAUAGUUUCCAAAAUUUUGUUACAUCACAUUUUAAUAACACAAUAUUUGUAUUUUCAUGCUAGUUAGUAGUAUAAAAGUAAGAACUGCCUACUGGGCUUGAGAUACCCUCAGGCCACCAUCAGUGGUAUUAACCCAGUUGUAGUAAUAACAAUGAAAGCAGUACACAUUUUUCUGCACUAUAGUUACAAUGUACAAUUUUUGGCAAUUAAAAUACAUUUUGAUAUAUUAGCAAUACUAUGAGGUCUAUCAAUAAUAAGUAAAAUCACAAAUAUACUUAACUCCGAGUAAAUUUAAAACGGAAAGUCCCUAAUUAAAUGGCAAAAUCCAAAGCUCAAACACAUCAAACUGACUUUGGUACAGGUAUUUUCUUAUGUAGAAAAUGGUGGAACAUCAACAGAUGUUUUAUGGUAAACCAGUUUAUACAGUGAAAGCUCCAGG
This 772-nucleotide long non-coding RNA is filed under the name Mytilus galloprovincialis (Mediterranean mussel). The record is from RNAcentral. Lineage: Eukaryota; Metazoa; Mollusca; Bivalvia; Mytilida; Mytilidae.